Long non-coding RNA from Oxyura jamaicensis (ruddy duck), 458 nucleotides. RefSeq lists it as uncharacterized. The transcript is spliced from 3 exons. NCBI's taxonomy places the organism in Eukaryota, Metazoa, Chordata, Aves, Anseriformes, Anatidae. The record is from RefSeq and is a predicted model, not a curated record.
AGAAAGAAAGAUUAGGUCAGCAGUGGAAAGAACUGGAAAAUGCUUCAUUUAUUUUUCCAGAAAAAUCACGUUUAUGGAAAGAUAUAUAUAUAUAUAUUUUUCAAGGAUGUAUCAGUUUUGUUGAUGCUUCCCCAGAUGACAGGCAUAACUGCAUAUCAUGAGACACCUACUUCAGGACAGUCUACUGGUUACCUCAAUUUCUACUCUACCUUGUUGAAACUAGGGACUUUCAUUUCUUUAGAUUUAUGCAGUAGCCAUGUUUGUCAAAGUAUAUGGCACCAGUGACAUCAUCUUUGCUGAAAUGCCGGACAGCGUGAUGAGUCCCAGAUGUUAACACACACCAAAAGCACAGAAAGAAUAAAAUCCAAAAAUCAACUAUAACAGCUAUGGAGGACUGUGCUUAGUUUACAUUCUCAUGUUGAUAGAUGAAGAAUGUUGGUUUUUAGUCAAGGGCUCCU